RNAcentral lists this ribosomal RNA (415 nucleotides) under uncultured crenarchaeote. Its description in RNAcentral is "partial 16S ribosomal RNA". It matches the Rfam family "Archaeal small subunit ribosomal RNA", at positions 330 to 747 of the family's 1478-position model. The record is from RNAcentral. Lineage: Archaea; Thermoproteati; Thermoproteota.
GUGCAGCAGGCGCGCAACCUCUGCAAUACGCGAAAGCGUGACAGGGCUACCCCGAGUGCCGUCCGCUGAGGAUGGCUUUUCUCCGGUGUAGUAAGCCGGAGGAAUAAGGAGAGGGCAAGUCUGGUGUCAGCCGCCGCGGUAAUACCAGCUCUCCGAGUGGUAGGGACGAUUAUUGGGCCUAAAGCGUCCGUAGCCGGCCAAGCAAGUUUCCCGUUAAAUCCAGCGAUCCAAUCGUUGGACUGCGGGAAAUACUGUUUGGCUAGGGGGCGAGAGAGGCCAACGGUAUUCCCGGGGUAGGGGUGAAAUCCCAUAAUCCCGGGAGGACCACCAGUGGCGAAGGCUGUUGGCUAGAACGCGCUCGACGGUGAGGGACGAAAGCUGGGGGAGCGAACCGGAUUAGAUACCCGGGUAGUCC